UACGAAGGGGGCUAGCGUUGCUCGGAAUUACUGGGCGUAAAGCGCACGUAGGCGGCUCUUUAAGUCGGGGGUGAAAUCCUGGAGCUCAACUCCAGAACUGCGUCCGAUACUGGCAGGCUUGAAUUCGGGAGAGGGAUGCGGAAUUCCAGGUGUAGCGGUGAAAUGCGUAGAUAUCAAGAGGAACACCUGCGGCGAAGGCGGGUUGCUGGGCCGACACUGACGCUGAUGCGCGAAAGCUAGGGGAGCGAACGGG
This 253-nucleotide ribosomal RNA is filed under the name uncultured bacterium. RNAcentral describes it as "partial 16S ribosomal RNA". It matches the Rfam family "Bacterial small subunit ribosomal RNA", at positions 524 to 776 of the family's 1533-position model. The record is from RNAcentral.